AAGUCAAAGCAGUUCCUUUGCUUCUUCCUUUUGUUUCUCUAAUUGUCUUAAAAUUCCUUUCGUUCUCUUAUUCCUAUAAACUAGGAAUUCAUAGUUCUAUCGACUAGAAGUUUUGGAUCAAGUGGUAUCAGAGCACCAGAUCCAAGAGGGUGACGGUGGUUUAUGGUCUGAACUUGCAACCAUCGCAAAGCUUCUGGAGAAGAACUUUUAGGUCCUUUGCUCAUACACCAAAAGUCAAUGUCCAAGAGAGACAUUAUGACGGGAGAAAACAAACAGGAUACAUCUAGUGAUGGCGAUCGCAUCAUUAAGCUUGAGCAAAAAGUUGAAAACUUGUCCUCGUCAAUCCUUAAACUCAUGGAGAAUUUGAAGACUGGAAAACCUUAGCAUCCAUCAACUUCAUAUGAGCCUGAUCAAAAGUUCAAGAAAAAGGUUGUUGAGGAUAGCAAAGAUGAAGACGACACACAAGUUGAUCCAACGAAAAAGGAAGCUGAAUCAGAACUGCUCUUUACAGAGCUACAAAGGAAGAAAUCAACUCUAGAAAAGCAAAAAGAAAGCUGGAACUCUAUUCCUGUCUGUAUAGAAGCUUCUGAUCCGGGCUGAACUGGGUAUGUCUGGGCUAGACUGGACUUUCAACAACUUCAGUUGCUCAGUUUCAGCUGUAGAUGGAUACCAAAGUUCAAUUUUGGUAGAGCUUUAAUCUACUCCAAGCUUUGGGAGGCUUUUGAGCUGGCAGAACUGCAGCUUUUUCAGUUUGAAGGGACAGAAGUGGCUGUUCUUAAAAACCUAAUGAGCUGGAAACUGCACUGUGAAAUUUGUUGAGGUUUUCAUAUUUGAGAAAACUCAAACUCUGCUUGUCUUGACUUUUGUUGAACCAAAUUUGUAACGAGAGAGAUCUCGUUUUGAAUGACUUAUUUCUUUAAGUCUGAACUUUGGAAAUUCUGAUCUAAAACUAGUUUUUCUUGUGGUUCAAGUGAGCUUUUGGUUGAUUUUUUUGGGUUGUUUAUUUGAUUGAUGAAAAUUGAGUGUGUC
Prunus mume (Japanese apricot) is the source of this 1029-nucleotide non-coding RNA. The record is from RefSeq and is a predicted model, not a curated record. Lineage: Eukaryota; Viridiplantae; Streptophyta; Magnoliopsida; Rosales; Rosaceae.